This 1660-nucleotide long non-coding RNA is filed under the name Homo sapiens (human). RNAcentral's name for it is "HSALNT0363528". The record is from RNAcentral. Lineage: Eukaryota; Metazoa; Chordata; Mammalia; Primates; Hominidae.
CAUUCUGCUGCUCGGCAGGGCUGCCCAGGAGAGGGAGCACCGGCUGUACACUUGCCUGGCGUCUUUGGUCUGCCCCCAGUGGGCAUUUCGGGGCAGGCUGGCCCAGGAGGGGCUAGUCCCCACCCCGUUGUUUUAAUUUACUCAGGGGCUGAUACAGAGCAGUGGGGGGCAGCAGGGCGAGGGCUCCAUGGAGGGGCAGUGCAGAACUGGCAGAGGUGGUCAGCACCGCCCAAGCGGCACCCCUCCCCCUUCCCACCCCGGACUCGGCCUGGGCCCCCUGGGGGCUUAUGGAACCAGGAAUUCCCUUUUCCCCAGCCCUAAUAGCAAUCAGAUGGCGCAAGUGGAAAAUCACGGCGCUCGGCAAGCAAGCUGGAAAUUGGCGGGCUGUGGUGCCUGGUGCCUGCGCUGCUCAGCGGGAGGAUGAGUCAGGAGUGUAGUGCCCAGACUGGGAGAGAUGUGCCUCUGUGGGCAUCUUGAAGGGAAAUGAGAAGCGGAGCUGCCCCUGCACCUGCGCUGGGAGCUGCCUGCCUCCUGCUUGUCCUGGCCAUGUGCGAACCUCAGCGUGGAAGAGGGACUCUCGCACUGCUCCCUGCGCGGCUCAGCUGGCCUCCUGGGAAGCCACAAGAAACUAAUCCAUGGGGAUGGCCAGGCCUGAUUAGCUGGGGUGGGGCUGGAGGCUCCUCUACAGAGAUGAUGCUUACACUGAGACCUGAAGGAGAAGGAGGAGGUGGCUGCUCACGCAACCCACAGGAAAGUGUUCCAGGAUCAAGAACAGCAGGUGCAAAGGCCCCGUGAUGGAAAGGAUUGGUGCACUAGGAGAACAAAGUGGGUGGCUGCAGGGCAGGAGGGGAGGGUGCAUGUGCAGGCUGGGCAGGAGGGUAGGGCCUUGAGGCACCCUACAGGCCCCUGUAAGUCCAGGCACAGAGCUGCUGCCUUGAGCCCUGAGGUCUGGACAUUCCAGUUUCCCAUCUUUCCAAUGUGGGACUCUCUGCCUUUUCCAAUUCCCCACUUCCCUGAUGCCAGAUACUGCCUGACUGUGUCCAUCUCUCCCCCGUCCCCUGGGCCACCUCCCUGCUGAGACCCCUCACUGGUGCCUCCCAGGUGCAUUCUCCUCGCUGCCCCCAGCAGAGUCCUUCCCACACACCCAGCUCCUCGGUGUGGUGCCUGCCCGUGGGUGGGUGGUGCACCCCACUGGCAUCCCUCCUCUGCCCUGUCCACCUCAACUUCCAGGGCAGCCUGGACACCAGGUUUGGUCUACCUCGUCCACACCCGCCUGCUUCUGUCCCGCCUUAAGCGGAUCCGUGAUGUCCCGUCAUUAGACCUUCAAUUUCAGCACAGGACUGAAUAACUAACCUUCAAAAAGUUUGCAGUAGCCUUGUCACUCCUAAAAAUAACAAAUAAUUCCUUAAACAUCAUUCAACAUCCAAUCAGUGUUUGCACACUUUUUUUACAGCUCUGCAUGUGUGUCACAAGCUAAACAAGGCCCGUGAGUGGAUGUGCUUCUUUUUGGGGUUGGGGAGAGACGGUGUCUCACUCUGUUGCCCAGGCUGGAUUGCAGUGGCAAGAUCUUGGCUCAUUGUGUCUCCCGGGUUCAAGCGAUUCUUCUGCCUCAGACUCUUGAGUAGCUGGGACUACAGGCAGUGCCACCACGCCUGGCUAA